Zea mays is the source of this 952-nucleotide long non-coding RNA. RefSeq lists it as uncharacterized. The transcript has 3 exons. The record is from RefSeq and is a predicted model, not a curated record. NCBI's taxonomy places the organism in Eukaryota, Viridiplantae, Streptophyta, Magnoliopsida, Poales, Poaceae.
AACAUUUGUCCAGGGAAAAGCCUUUUUCCGGUUGGAAACUGCCCCGGCCUCGGGAGGCCAGGCGAUUUUCGUUCUCCCGAUGCCAUCCCCGCGACGACCCGACUCCCAGCGACUCCAACCCUAGCCAACUCCUCCGCCGUCGCUCGUCUCCAACGCCUAGCCAGCUCCUCUCCAACGCCAUCGCUCGUCUGUCGUCGCCACGAGCUCCUCCGCCGUCGCACCUGAUCCACACCGAGCUCUCUGACGCUGUCCCCUUCCCCUCCACAAGAUAUGGGUUCUUGGGAGGAGCAAGUUAGACAAUUUUUGUUAGAUGAGGAAGAAGACGACGAUGAGUUGUUCUUUGUUAUUCUGCCUGCUAUAAUUCCAUACCUCUCAGAAGAGAAAGAGCCCAUCCACACCUCCUCACUCACUGGUGCUAAAAAAGGUUAGAGAAAUCCUUGAAGGACAUGAGAGUUGGUGCAAAUCCGAGUUCCGAAUGGAGCCAGCAAUAUUCAGAACCACAACAAAUUUUCUUAGAAGAGAGAAUUUACUAUGAGACACACGAGGAGUUACCAUUGAGGAGCAGCUUGGGAUGUUCAUGUACAAGAUCUCCCACAAUGCUAGUAACCAAAUGCUACAAAAGGCUUUUCAACAUAGUGGAGAGACUAUCCAUAGAAAAAUAUCCGAAGUAUUUGAUAUUGUUCCCACACUAACUCAGCGUUUUGUGAAGCUUCCUAGCUCUAUCCAAACUCAUACCAAAAUUGCAACAGAUUCUAGGUUCAUGCCAUUUUUUCAGAACUGCAUUGGUGCAAUCGACGGCACACAUAUACCCAUCACCAUAUCAGAACAUAGGGCUGCUCCAUAUAGAAAUAGGAAAGGAACUCUUUCACAUAAUGUUAUGGUAGCCUGCGACUUUGACCUUGAAAGCUCUCUUGUGAGUUUUGGUGUUUGGAUGACAACUCAAUUAAAGGAC